Long non-coding RNA from Homarus americanus (American lobster), 917 nucleotides. RefSeq lists it as uncharacterized. The record is from RefSeq and is a predicted model, not a curated record. The transcript has 2 exons. NCBI's taxonomy places the organism in Eukaryota, Metazoa, Arthropoda, Malacostraca, Decapoda, Nephropidae.
ACCACACCCAGGAACCUGUCUUCCCCUGGUGGUGGAGGUGCUGUUUCCACACACACAAACUAUAUAUAGUAUAAUACAGAAGGCUCACACAACCCACCACACAAACUGUCCACAGCUCGACGGAAGCACUUGUCUCCCUCCUCCGUGUCUACGUGUUGACAAUGUCCACUUCCAGGAACUUGCUGGGGAAAGCGCUGAUGGUACUCCUCAUUGUGGUAUCCCUCGACCAGGCUAAAGUUGAAGGGCUGCCCCAGGGAGUUGGUACACACCCACAACCAAAUCCUCUCCUAAACGACCCCUACCUUAACCCGGUUGGACCUGGUUCCGUUGUUGCAGGCCCAUAUGGACGACCAAAAGUGAGCAAUGAAUUUGGAAUUUGGACUAAUGAAGGACAUCAGAGCUUCGAGGUCUUUCCAGGUCAUCCAGGCCAUCCAGGCCAUCCAGGCCAUCCAGGCCAUGGUAGUACUCACCCUGGAGUCCACCAGCCCUAUGCACCUGUAGGUCACCAGAACCAUGCGGCUCAGGGUCAUCCUUCUACAGGAUAGAGACUAAGUAGUUGCUGUUGUGGGUGGUGAUGGUGAGGAAGGAGGCUGGCUGGAGAAGUGGUCAUCGGCUCUGUAUAUUUUGGCAAGUGGUGCAUCUGCCACCACCAUCUACAGCAGACGGCAGCAGACACCUAACGUCUGCCACCACCACCACCACCAUAACAUAGAACUACUCGCUCUGUUGACACGAUUUAGGCCUCAUCAUGUAAACCAACAAAAUGUCAGCUUCAAGUAAGACCAAGAGUAACCUUCUUUAACUACAUUGUGUCUUCUGUGCUGAUGUUUUGUUUGUAAACCUUUUAUUAUUUGUUCUCUUUAACACUUAAUAUAAAACAUUGUGGCCAUAAUAAUAAAAAUAACUGGAUAAAACAA